Molecule: ribosomal RNA, 139 nt
Filed under: uncultured bacterium
Lineage: Bacteria
Description: partial 16S ribosomal RNA
Rfam family: Bacterial small subunit ribosomal RNA
Source: RNAcentral
UGGGGGAUAUUGCACAAUGGGGGGAACCCUGAUGCAGCGACGCCGCGUGGGUGAAGAAGCGCCUCGGCGCGUAAAGCCCUGUCAGCAGGGAAGAAAAUGACGGUACCUGAAGAAGAAGCCCCGGCUAACUACGUGCCAG